UUUCUGCCGUUCGGCGCGCGUGACGGCCACGUUUCGCCAUUUUCUGGUCUUGCACGGUGGGGAGGGGGCUUCCGGGGGUGUCUCUUCGGCUGGGUGGUACCGGGCCGGUGCGUGUUUUCACGCGCCGCCGGUAUUGGCGAAAUCCGCCUUCCUUCUGCCGGCUCUGGGAUAGGGAUUGGACAAUUUUUGCUCCAGCAACUCAGUGGUAUCAAUGGUGUUUCUAUCAAUUUUUGCUCAAGUUCUUCACUGGCAACGUGCAAGUUCUCCAAUGAUGUGAUUUAAACAAGAUCAAGAAGCCAAGAGAUAUAGUUGGGACAAACAAUUUUUUUGAUUGGUUUAGUUGCUACCAGUUUCCACAUUUUAGAGUAAUGCUGAUAGCUUGAUAUUUUUGGUGUAACUGAUAGAUUUAGUUGUUGUUGAUUAGUUUGGUUGUUUGCUGGUUUUGUCCAGUUGGUUGUUGGUUUUUGUUUCGGUUUUGAGCUAGAUUGCUCAUUAGUUUUGUUGGUUUGAACAAUUUUGUACAAUUGCUUUGAUUUCAAUAUACAAUGUUGCCUUAUUUCAA
Molecule: long non-coding RNA, 562 nt
Organism: Alnus glutinosa
Lineage: Eukaryota; Viridiplantae; Streptophyta; Magnoliopsida; Fagales; Betulaceae
Exons: 2
Source: RefSeq, a predicted model, not a curated record